Molecule: ribosomal RNA, 439 nt
Filed under: uncultured bacterium
Lineage: Bacteria
Description: partial 16S ribosomal RNA
Rfam family: Bacterial small subunit ribosomal RNA
Source: RNAcentral
CCUACGGGUGGCUGCAGUGGGGGAUAUUGCACAAUGGAGGAAACUCUGAUGCAGCGACGCCGCGUGAGGGAAGACGGUCUUCGGAUUGUAAACCUCUGUCUUUGGGGAAGAAAAUGACGGUACCCAAAGAGGAAGCUCCGGCUAACUACGUGCCAGCAGCCGCGGUAAUACGUAGGGAGCGAGCGUUGUCCGGAAUUACUGGGUGUAAAAGGAGCGUAGGCGGGCGAGAAAGUUGAAUGUUAAAUCUACCGGCUUAACUGGUAGCUGCGUUCAAAACUUCUUGUCUUGAGUGAAGUAGAGGCAGGCGGAAUUCCUAGUGUAGCGGUGAAAUGCGUAGAUAUAAGGAAGAACACCAGUGGCGAAGGCGGAUGACUGGACGGCAACUGACGGUGAGGCGCGAAAGCGUGGGGAGCAAACAGGAUUAGAUACCCCAGUAGUC